UCUGGUGACAAUAGCGAAGAGGUCACACCUGUUCCCAUACCGAACACAGAAGUUAAGCUCUUCAGCGCUGAUGAUACUUGGUGGGUGACUGCCUGGGAAAGUAGGACGUCGCCGGUU
Molecule: ribosomal RNA, 117 nt
Organism: Dethiosulfatibacter aminovorans DSM 17477
Lineage: Bacteria; Bacillati; Bacillota; Tissierellia
Source: Rfam